Molecule: ribosomal RNA, 512 nt
Filed under: Saccharomycetales sp. RS
Lineage: Eukaryota; Fungi; Ascomycota; Saccharomycetes; Saccharomycetales
Description: LSU rRNA
Rfam family: Eukaryotic large subunit ribosomal RNA
Source: RNAcentral
CGAGUGAAGCGGCAAGAGCUCAAAUUUGAAAUCUAGUACCUUUCGGUGCUCGAGUUGUAAUUUGAAGAAGGCUAUCUUGGAUUUGGCCUUUAUCUAUGUUCCUUGGAACAGGACGUCACAGAGGGUGAGAAUCCCGUGCGAUGAGGUGUCCAUUUCUAUGUAAGAUGCUUUCGAAGAGUCGAGUUGUUUGGGAAUGCAGCUCUAAGUGGGUGGUAAAUUCCAUCUAAAGCUAAAUAUUGGCGAGAGACCGAUAGCGAACAAGUACAGUGAUGGAAAGAUGAAAAGAACUUUGAAAAGAGAGUGAAAAAGUACGUGAAAUUGUUGAAAGGGAAGGGUAUUAGAUCAGACUUGGUAUUUAGUUAUCAUUGCUCCUUGUGGGUGGUGCUCUAGCUUUUUACUGGGCCAACAUCAGUUUUGGUGGCAAGAUAAUGACAUUUGAAUGUGGCUCCUCGGAGUGUUAUAGCUUUUGUUGAUAUUGCCUACCGGGACUGAGGUCUGCGGCUUUGCCUAGG